GAAAACUCUUCAUGGACUAUAAAUUAGGUUGUUGUGUAUUUCCAUAAGAGUACAUAAUGUUGCACAAGAAGCUCAAAAGGAAAAUCAUCUCCAUUUACAAAUAUUGGACAGUAAAGGCCAAUUUGCUGCACAUUAUGCACUAGCAGUGGCCAUGCAUAUGUAGAAUUGUUUUUCGAUUAGCAUUUGAUGUAAAAUAAGCCAAAGCAACAAUGUUGCCUCAAGGGUCAGAAGGACACCCUUCACACCUUAUCAUCAUGGAACCACCACCUGGUUUCCUUGGGAGAUCUGCCGUUUCUGCAGUUCUUCACAUAGCGGUCAUUAUCUUCAGGGCGUUGCUUCACGGUUGAACUUGACAACAUGGAGAGAAUGCUGAUGCAUAUAGAACUGACUGUCAUGGCAGGAGACCAUGAAUCA
Molecule: unclassified non-coding RNA, 414 nt
Filed under: Hevea brasiliensis (rubber tree)
Lineage: Eukaryota; Viridiplantae; Streptophyta; Magnoliopsida; Malpighiales; Euphorbiaceae
Source: RNAcentral